CCUACGGGGGGCAGCAGUAGGGAAUAUUGCUCAAUGGGGGAAACCCUGAAGCAGCAACGCCGCGUGGAGGAUGAAGGUUUUCGGAUUGUAACCUCCUUUUGUUAGAGAAGAUAAUGACGGUAUCUAACGAAUAAGCACCGGCUAACUCCGUGCCAGCAGCCGCGGUAAUACGGAGGGUGCAAGCGUUACUCGGAAUCACUGGGCGUAAAGCGCGCGUAGGCGGGAUAGCAAGUCAGAUGUGAAAUCCUAUGGCUUAACCAUAGAACUGCAUUUGAAACUGUUAUUCUAGAGUAUGGGAGAGGUAGGUGGAAUGCUUGGUGUAGCGGUAAAAUCCGUAGAGAUCAAGAGGAAUACUCAUUGCGAAGGCGACCUGCUAGAACAUAACUGACGCUGAGGCGCGAAAGCGUGGGGAGCAAACAGGAUUAGAUACCCUAGUAGUC
Molecule: ribosomal RNA, 440 nt
Filed under: uncultured bacterium
Lineage: Bacteria
Description: partial 16S ribosomal RNA
Rfam family: Bacterial small subunit ribosomal RNA
Source: RNAcentral